This 140-nucleotide long non-coding RNA is filed under the name Nannospalax galili (Upper Galilee mountains blind mole rat). RNAcentral describes it as "Myocardial infarction associated transcript exon 1 (ENSNGAG00000007059.1)". It matches the Rfam family "Myocardial infarction associated transcript exon 1". From Rfam's summary of the family: MIAT (myocardial infarction associated transcript), also known as RNCR2 (retinal non-coding RNA 2) or Gomafu, is a noncoding RNA. Single nucleotide polymorphisms (SNPs) in MIAT are associated with a risk of myocardial infarction. It is expressed in neurons, and located in the nucleus. Lineage: Eukaryota; Metazoa; Chordata; Mammalia; Rodentia; Spalacidae. The record is from RNAcentral.
AGGGAGGGAGGCUGCGGACCAGUGCGGGGAGGAGUUUGCGAGGGGAGGCGCUUGCAGGGGCUCCCCCAGUUCUGCGCCGAGAGCCCGGGCACAAAGAGCCCUCCACACUACACUCCAGCAGCAGGAGCUAGGACUCGGGU